This 496-nucleotide ribosomal RNA is filed under the name uncultured bacterium. Its description in RNAcentral is "partial 16S ribosomal RNA". It matches the Rfam family "Bacterial small subunit ribosomal RNA", at positions 28 to 506 of the family's 1533-position model. The record is from RNAcentral.
GAUGAACGCUGGCGGCGUGCCUAAUACAUGCAAGUCGAGCGAACGGACGAGAAGCUUGCUUCUCUGAUGUUAGCGGCGGACGGGUGAGUAACACGUGGAUAACCUACCUAUAAGACUGGGAUAACUUCGGGAAACCGGAGCUAAUACCGGAUAAUAUUUUGAACCGCAUGGUUCAAAAGUGAAAGACGGUCUUGCUGUCACUUAUAGAUGGAUCCGCGCUGCAUUAGCUAGUUGGUAAGGUAACGGCUUACCAAGGCAACGAUGCAUAGCCGACCUGAGAGGGGGAUCGGCCACACUGGAACUGAGACACGGUCCAGACGCCUACGGGAGGCAGCAGUAGGGAAUCUUCCGCAAUGGGCGAAAGCCUGACGGAGCAACGCCGCGUGAGUGAUGAAGGUCUUCGGAUCGUAAAACUCUGUUAUUAGGGAAGAACAUAUGUGUAAGUAACUGUGCACAUCUGGACGGUACCUAAUCAGAAAGCCACGGCUAACUACGU